AAGGAGGAGUCACCACCUGGGAGCGUUGUGGAUGACAAGAUCCUGGUCCAAGAGGAAGAAGAUCCAUCUGUCAAGUUGCAGAGCUACACCCGUGACUCCGGUGUGUGCACGCCCAAUGAUGUUGACUUCCAGCUGCUUCAACAAGAUGUGCCUGAGCCAUGUGAGGUUGUCGAGAUCGAAACCUGCAGCCAGGCACCAGGAGACAGUGAUCCCACCUCAGAAUCUGUCUACUCUUCCAACACAUCCAGAAAUUCUGAUGAAGGAGAAAUGCAUCAAAGCCAGAAGGAAGAUCUCGG
Ochotona princeps (American pika) is the source of this 296-nucleotide long non-coding RNA. RefSeq lists it as uncharacterized. The record is from RefSeq and is a predicted model, not a curated record. NCBI's taxonomy places the organism in Eukaryota, Metazoa, Chordata, Mammalia, Lagomorpha, Ochotonidae. The transcript is spliced from 3 exons.